UAAUGUAUGGGGAUCUGCCCGAUAGAGGGGAAUAACUACUGGAAACGGUGGCUAAUACCGCAUAAUGUCUACGGACCAAAGCAGGGGCUCUUCGGACCUUGCACUAUCGGAUGAACCCAUAUGGGAUUAGCUAGUAGGUGGGGUAAAGGCUCGCCUAGGCGACGAUCUCUAGCUGGUCUGAGAGGAUGAUCAGCCACACUGGGACUGAGACACGGCCCAG
This 220-nucleotide ribosomal RNA is filed under the name uncultured bacterium. Its description in RNAcentral is "partial 16S ribosomal RNA". It matches the Rfam family "Bacterial small subunit ribosomal RNA", at positions 111 to 334 of the family's 1533-position model. The record is from RNAcentral.